This 243-nucleotide unclassified non-coding RNA is filed under the name uncultured Articulospora. RNAcentral's name for it is "sequence contains ITS2". The record is from RNAcentral. Lineage: Eukaryota; Fungi; Ascomycota; Leotiomycetes; Helotiales; Helotiaceae.
AACGCACAUUGCGCCCCUUGGUAUUCCGGGGGGCAUGCCUGUUCGAGCGUCAUUAUCACCCCUCAAGCUCAGCUUGGUGUUGGGGCCUGCCCGUCACAGGGCAGCCCUUAAAAGCAGUGGCGGUGCCAUCUGGCUCUACGCGUAGUAAUACUCCUCGCGACAGAGUCCCGGUGGUGUCCUGCCAGAACCCCAAAUUUUUUCAUGAUUGACCUCGGAUCAGGUAGGGAUACCCGCUGAACUUAA